Molecule: long non-coding RNA, 1006 nt
Organism: Gracilinanus agilis (Agile Gracile Mouse Opossum)
Lineage: Eukaryota; Metazoa; Chordata; Mammalia; Didelphimorphia; Didelphidae
Exons: 2
Source: RefSeq, a predicted model, not a curated record
AUCUUAAAAACAUAACGUUCGAGCCCAUGAGUUUUUAGAACUACUGGCACGGCAGAUUCAAACAUUAACAUUUUCCACAUACACCGCAACAAAUAUUAACGCGAAGUUCCAUAUAAUAAAUGAGACGAGCAUCAUAUAUGCAACAAAGUAUACAGCUUAGAUCACACAAUUAUUGGGAUAGGCAAACCCUUUGGAAUAUUUUUCAGUUCAGGUACACGCUUCCUGCCCCUCCCCCAUCACUUUUAACAUCAAAAUCUUUCCAGAAAGGAAAUAAUAAAGCUAUUAAAUGCGACCUGUUUAUUUCCCCACUAUUUCUGUCUGUCUCAGCCAGUUCCCCAACCCUUACACGGAGUCCCUGCUCCUGCCGCCCUCCUCGGAACCAGGGCCUCCAGGGAUCUUUCCCGAUCCAGCUUGUUUCCCGUGCCAACUCCACCUGGACGCCUUGAAAACCCAGCGUCAGACAAGAAAACUCCACUGGCACAAUUGAGGCGGGGGUGAAGAAGGACUUGAACCCUCAGAGGCUAGAGAGAUGUAAGGGAAUACGACCACGCUGGGGACCAUCAGGAACAGAGCUAAGGAAGUGGGGAGCCACUAGGAGCACGGAGGCCCUCCCCGACUGACGCAUUGCGGUUGCCUCCUGGACUAAGGAAUCCAGGCACCAACUGACCUCAAACCCCAAGUCUACCAAUGCCACCUUAGGAAUCACUUCUCUUUUCUCUCCUUUUCCUGGCCCCCUCCUUUUCUUCUUUCUUUCUUAAUUCCAUUUACCUCCCCCCCUCCCCACCUCUCCUAUCUGUGGAACCAUAAUGAAAUCAAAUAAAAGAAAUUAAGGCCGAAAGAGAGCUUGCUCAGGAAGGCGGUUAAUAAAGGGAAGCUGGUUUGAGGCACUUGAUUUCCCCGUCUAAUUGCCUUCAUUGGCUUUCCCUACUUUGAUGUGGAACAGGAUUUGGCGCUAAUAAAAUAAGGACUUUCAGUCUGCAAUAAACUCAUCUCCACACAAAACCAA